Molecule: ribosomal RNA, 484 nt
Filed under: uncultured bacterium
Lineage: Bacteria
Description: partial 16S ribosomal RNA
Rfam family: Bacterial small subunit ribosomal RNA
Source: RNAcentral
AUUGAACGCUGGCGGCAUGCUUUACACAUGCAAGUCGAACGGCGGCGCGGGCUUCGGCCUGGCGGCGAGUGGCGAACGGGUGAGUAAUGCAUCGGAACGUGCCCAGUAGUGGGGGAUAGCCCGGCGAAAGCCGGAUUAAUACCGCAUACGACCUGAGGGUGAAAGCGGGGGACCGAAAGGCCUCGCGCUAUUGGAGCGGCCGAUGUCGGAUUAGCUAGUUGGUGGGGUAAAGGCUUACCAAGGCGACGAUCCGUAGCUGGUCUGAGAGGACGACCAGCCACACUGGGACUGAGACACGGCCCAGACUCCUACGGGAGGCAGCAGUGGGGAAUUUUGGACAAUGGGGGCAACCCUGAUCCAGCCAUGCCGCGUGCGGGAAGAAGGCCUUCGGGUUGUAAACCGCUUUUGUUCGGGAAGAAAUCCUCUGGGCUAAUACCCCGGGGGGAUGACGGUACCGGAAGAAUAAGCACCGGCUAACUACGUG